GGUGAGUAACACGUGGGUAACCUGCCUGUAAGACUGGGAUAACUCCGGGAAACCGGGGCUAAUACCGGAUAACUUCUUUCCUCGCAUGAGGAAAGAUUGAAAGAUGGCUUCGGCUAUCACUUACAGAUGGACCCGCGGCGCAUUAGCUAGUUGGUGAGGUAACGGCUCACCAAGGCGACGAUGCGUAGCCGACCUGAGAGGGUGAUCGGCCACACUGGGACUGAGACACGGCCCAGACUCCUACGGGAGGCAGCAGUAGGGAAUCUUCCGCAAUGGACGAAAGUCUGACGGAGCAACGCCGCGUGAGUGAUGAAGGUUUUCGGAUCGUAAAACUCUGUUGUUAGGGAAGAACAAGUAUCGUUCGAAUAGGGCGGUACCUUGACGGUACCUAACCAGAAAGCCACGGCUAACUACGUGCCAGCAGCCGCGGUAAUACGUAGGUGGCAAGCGUUGUCCGGAAUUAUUGGGCGUAAAGCGCGCGCAGGCGGUUUCUUAAGUCUGAUGUGAAAGCCCACGGCUCAACCGUGGAGGGUCAUUGGAAACUGGGAGACUUGAGUGCAGAAGAGGAGAGUGGAAUUCCACGUGUAGCGGUGAAAUGCGUAGAGAUGUGGAGGAACACCAGUGGCGAAGGCGACUCUCUGGUCUGUAACUGACGCUGAGGCGCGAAAGCGUGGGGAGCGAACAGGAUUAGAUACCCUGGUAGUCCACGCC
Molecule: ribosomal RNA, 711 nt
Filed under: uncultured bacterium
Lineage: Bacteria
Description: bacterial SSU rRNA
Rfam family: Bacterial small subunit ribosomal RNA
Source: RNAcentral